AGUGAACGCUGGCGGUAGGCCUAACACAUGCAAGUCGAACGGUAGCACAGGAGAGCUUGCUCUCUGGGUGGCGAGUGGCGGACGGGUGAGGAAUACAUCGGAAUCUACUCUGUCGUGGGGGAUAACGUAGGGAAACUUACGCUAAUACCGCAUACGACCUACGGGUGAAAGCAGGGGAUCUUCGGACCUUGCGCGACUGAAUGAGCCGAUGUCGGAUUAGCUAGUUGGCGGGGUAAAGGCCCACCAAGGCGACGAUCCGUAGCUGGUCUGAGAGGAUGAUCAGCCACACUGGAACUGAGACACGGUCCAGACUCCUACGGGAGGCAGCAGUGGGGAGUAUUGGACAAUGGGCGCAAGCCUGAUCCAGCCAUACCGCGUGGGUGAAGAAGGCCUUCGGGUUGUAAAGCCCUUUUGUUGGGAAAGAAAUCCAGCUGGCUAAUACCCGGUUGGGAUGACGGUACCCAAAGAAUAAGCACCGGCUAACUUCGUGCCAGCAGCCGCCGUAA
This 506-nucleotide ribosomal RNA is filed under the name uncultured bacterium. RNAcentral's name for it is "partial 16S ribosomal RNA". It matches the Rfam family "Bacterial small subunit ribosomal RNA", at positions 29 to 523 of the family's 1533-position model. The record is from RNAcentral.